CCUCGUCAACCUGGCCUCUGGCGAGGCCAAGCUCAUCGACUUUGGCUGCAGCACAAUCCUCCAGGACACCUUCUACACCUGGACAGCAGGAACGCGAGACUACUUCCUGCCGGAGUGGAUCCUCUUCGGCUGCUACCACGGCCAGCCAGCCACCAUCUAGUCCCCGGGCAUCCUGCUCUAUCAGCUGGUGUGCGGGCACCUUCCUUUCAAAACCGGAGAGGACAUCGUUCGGGGCCAGCUCUUCUUCCCAUCCCAUGUGUCUCAAGAGUGCCAGCACCUCAUCAGGUGGUGUUUAUGCAUGGACUCUACAGACAGGCCAUGCCUGGAAGACCCUGUAGUGCAUUCUUGGCUGCAGAAGCCCCACCUGGCCCAGGAGACAGCAGAGAUCCAUCCCUCUGCACAGUAGGAUCCAGGAGCCCAGCAAGUACCAGCUGCUCGCACCUCAUGGCGCUCAGUGAAAUCCCCAGAGGGUUUCCCUGCGGCCGCGG
Long non-coding RNA from Oenanthe melanoleuca, 488 nucleotides. RefSeq lists it as uncharacterized. The transcript is spliced from 3 exons. Lineage: Eukaryota; Metazoa; Chordata; Aves; Passeriformes; Muscicapidae. The record is from RefSeq and is a predicted model, not a curated record.